GAUGAACGCUGGCGGCGUGCCUAAUACAUGCAAGUCGAGCGAACAGACGAGGAGCUUGCUCCUCUGACGUUAGCGGCGGACGGGUGAGUAACACGUGGAUAACCUACCUAUAAGACUGGGAUAACUUCGGGAAACCGGAGCUAAUACCGGAUAAUAUAUUGAACCGCAUGGUUCAAUAGUGAAAGACGGUUUUGCUGUCACUUAUAGAUGGAUCCGCGCCGCAUUAGCUAGUUGGUAAGGUAACGGCUUACCAAGGCAAUGAUGCGUAGCCGACCUGAGAGGGUGAUCGGCCACACUGGAACUGAGACACGGUCCAGACUCCUACGGGAGGCAGCAGUAGGGAAUCUUCCGCAAUGGGCGAAAGCCUGACGGAGCAAAGCCGCGUGAGUGAUGAAGGUCUUCGGAUCGUAAAACUCUGUUAUUAGGGAAGAACAAAUGUGUAAGUAACUAUGCACGUCUUGACGGUACCUAAUCAGAAAGCCACGGCUAACUACGUG
RNAcentral lists this ribosomal RNA (497 nucleotides) under uncultured bacterium. RNAcentral describes it as "partial 16S ribosomal RNA". It matches the Rfam family "Bacterial small subunit ribosomal RNA", at positions 28 to 507 of the family's 1533-position model. The record is from RNAcentral.